AUGUAGCGUACACGGUGGAUGCCCUGGCAGUCAGAGGCGAUGAAGGACGUGCUAAUCUGCGAUAAGCGUCGGUGAGGUGAUAUGAACCGUUAUAACCGGCGAUUUCCGAAUGGGGAAACCCAGUGUGAUUCGUCACACUAUCAUUAACUGAAUCCAUAGGUUAAUGAGGCGAACCGGGGGAACUGAAACAUCUAAGUACCCCGAGGAAAAGAAAUCAACCGAGAUUCCCCCAGUAGCGGCGAGCGAACGGGGAG
This 254-nucleotide ribosomal RNA is filed under the name Escherichia coli. Its description in RNAcentral is "partial 23S ribosomal RNA". It matches the Rfam family "Bacterial large subunit ribosomal RNA", at positions 1 to 264 of the family's 2925-position model. The record is from RNAcentral. Lineage: Bacteria; Pseudomonadati; Pseudomonadota; Gammaproteobacteria; Enterobacterales; Enterobacteriaceae.